This 265-nucleotide ribosomal RNA is filed under the name uncultured prokaryote. RNAcentral's name for it is "partial 16S ribosomal RNA". It matches the Rfam family "Bacterial small subunit ribosomal RNA", at positions 524 to 789 of the family's 1533-position model. The record is from RNAcentral.
UACGUAGGGGACGAGCGUUGUCCGGAAUUACUGGGCGUAAAGGGCGCGCAGGCUGUAGAUCAAGUCAGCUGUGAAAUGUCUGGGCUUAACCCGGGCAUGCGGUUGAAACUGAUGUACUGGAGUGCUGUAGAGGCAAGUGGAAUUCCCAGUGUAGCGGUGAAAUGCGUAGAUAUUGGGAAGAACACCGGUGGCGAAGGCGACUUGCUGGGCAGCAACUGACGCUGAGGCGCGAAAGCCAGGGGAGCAAACGGGAUUAGAUACCCCU